GCCCUCGUGGAUCGUGGUGAUCCCUCCUACUUUAUCGCCGGUAAGGAUAUAAUGUUUAAGGAGAGGCGGAGGUUCGAAUCCUCCCGAGGGCA
Molecule: non-coding RNA, 92 nt
Organism: Mycena leptocephala
Lineage: Eukaryota; Fungi; Basidiomycota; Agaricomycetes; Agaricales; Mycenaceae
Source: the annotation of a GenBank genome assembly